GAUGCUUAUUUUCCUGUAAAUAAGCAGUGAGUUGUGGACAGGGCUUUUGACUCUCCCUGGCUCUAAUGGCUGCCUUAAACCAAAGGACUAGAAGUCAAGCAGACUGGCAGCUACCUAGCACCAGCCAUCUGGGAACACAGCAGGGACACCUUAGAAAAUGACAGGGUGAUCACAGCCAAUUGUCCUUGCUCCCAAAGGCACAGCCCAGUCCUUGCUGUUUCAAACAGCUCUUCCCAACAUCUCAGUGCAAGCCAAAGAGCUUUCUAAGUAACCCUGCAACUAUUUCCACCUUGGCCAGGAGGAGGGCUCUGUCCUUGGAGGUCUAGCAGAGGGGCUGCUUCGACUAGCCUAAGAGUCAGGCUGUGAUUGGCCCAAACAAGCAGCUGUGAUUAGCCCAAACAUCCUUCUUAGGCUUUAUACGUUCAUUCACUGAAUUGGCGGGGAGAUGCACUGCUUCCCCUAAAGAUCUCAUAAAGGCUUCUUCUCCCAGGGAUCUCCCCUUGCCUUUUGCAGUGAGAGCCGAGAUGGUGGUAACACGAAGAAGCAAAAGAGAGAGCAGAGAGCAGUGGCUACGGCGGAGGUGCAGGCGGCAGGCAGCUAGGCAGUCAUCAGGCCAAGAUGAAAAAACAAGGCACUGCCUGCUUGACAGCUUAAGGAGAAGCUGCUGAACCAAAGAGGGGGAAGGGCAGCGCCAGGAGAGACCAGAGCGGGGUUGGCUGAUAGAAGAUAGAGGAGCCCAGUGUGGGAGCCCAAGUCUGUAAUCCUGGAACUUGGCAGAUGGAGACAGGAAGCUCAGGAGUUCAAAUUCAUCCUCAGCUACAACACAACUUCAAGACCAGCCCGGAUUAUGUAAGUCCAAGCCUCAAAAAAUAAAAUAAAAUAAAAGAUUUAAAGAUCCGGAAAACAGAAACUGCAGGCCCUGGUUAACAGAAGUGUUCCAAAGAUCUGUCAAGUCUUAAGGACCCAGGGUCUCAGACCUCAGAAGGAGCGCUGUUAAUUUUGGCUGCCAAGGACGUACAUUCCAGGCACCCGAGGCCUGAACCAGACUGGAACACUAGAGGGCGCCAUGCUCUGCUGAUUCGCCUGCCUACCGCCUGCUGCUUAGACGCCCUGAGAACAGAGUAGUACUUGAGGACUUUUCUCCUCGAAGACUGUCGCCUGUGCUCUCUAUGUGGGUAGGGCAAAAGAGCCCUCAGCCCGCUGAGUGACAGCAGGAGUCAAAGACUUCUUUCCUAACUGCACUGUCUGGCCCUUGGCCCUGCACAGGUCUGCCAGUGGUCCUUGGGGCCUAGAGAGAUGACGGAAAGUCCAGGGUCUCCACAAGCUGUGUUGCUGUUCACCUCCAUUAAUGGCAUGCACGAGGGUGUGCAUGGCGACUUCAUUCGGAGCAUCCGGAAAGGAAAUGCCUGUGCUGGUCAGUUUUCCCAUCAACUUGACUUGUAUCUGGGAAGAGGGGAAUAAACUGCCUCCGUCAGACUGGCCUGUGGACGUUCUCUUGAUUGAUGAUUGGUGUGGGAGCGUCAAGCUCACGAUGGCAGAUGCCAUGACUAGUCGGGUGGACCGGGGCUGUAUAAGAACCCUGGAAGGAAGCCAGUAAGCAGCGCUUCUCCUGCUGUCUGCUUGAAUCCCCACCUCCAAGUUGCUGGCUCUACCUGAGUUCCUGCCCUGGCUUCGCUUCCCUCAGUGAAGGGCUGUGUGAAGGAGACCCCCAAACAGUAGGGGCUUCCUCCCAGACCCUGGACGAGGCACAAGCCACACCCAAACACUUGUCUUCACAGAGAGACCCUUUAUUAAGUCAGGAAGAAAAGUUGAAGUGGCCGCUUUCUGACUCAGGCUGAAAACUGCAGCAAAUGGCCUUGCAGCAAUAGAAGGCAAACUAGGACGCCUCAGGCUUGCGCCAACUGGAGCACAGACUGCGCGUGAUCUUUUCUAAAGGAAGGAAGACAGCUGGGCAAAGAAAUGUCCUAGAGCCAUGAGGCCCCGGCAUCCCUUUACUCUGUCACCAGGGCACUGCAGCCGGGAGCUCUAGCAGCUGCUUAUCUGGUAAACUAGAGGAAACUGUGAAAGCGCUCCAGGUAAAUGAUACUGUGGAGUCCUCAUGCCUCAUCCGUGAGCAUCCCCGGGCCAUAGGCUGCAUCUGCCUGGUCACAUAGAUGAAUGUGUGAUGGCUAACCAUCUUUGUCAAUUUAACUAGGUUUACAAUCAGCCAGAAGAAAAACACAUCUCAUGUGUCUGUAAAGGCCUUCCAGGGAGUAUUAAGUGAGGGAGAAAGACCCACUCUAAAUGUGGAUGGACCAUCCCAAGGCUCAGGUCCCGGAUAUAAUAAAAUGUGGAAAGAAAAAAGAGCCAGGUGAUCUAUUGAGCCUUGGACAGCAGAUCAGUACCCAUCCCAAGUAUACACAUGGACUUUGGACUCCCAUAGAACAAUGU
Mesocricetus auratus (golden hamster) is the source of this 2430-nucleotide long non-coding RNA. RefSeq lists it as uncharacterized. The record is from RefSeq and is a predicted model, not a curated record. The transcript is spliced from 3 exons. NCBI's taxonomy places the organism in Eukaryota, Metazoa, Chordata, Mammalia, Rodentia, Cricetidae.